GACGAACGCUGGCGGCGUGCCUAAUACGUGCAAGUAGAACGCUGAAGGAGGAGCUUGCUUCUCUGGAUGAGUUGCGAACGGGUGAGUAACGCGUAGGUAACCUGCCUGGUAGCGGGGGAUAACUAUUGGAAACGAUAGCUAAUACCGCAUAAUAGUAGAUGUUGCAUGACAUUUGCUUAAAAGGUGCAAUUGCAUCACUACCAGAUGGACCUGCGUUGUAUUAGCUAGUUGGUGGGGUAACGGCUCACCAAGGCGACGAUACAUAGCCGACCUGAGAGGGUGAUCGGCCACACUGGGACUGAGACACGGCCCAGACUCCUACGGGAGGCAGCAGUAGGAAUCUUCGGCAAUGGACGGAAGUCUGACCGAGCAACGCCGCGUGAGUGAAGAAGGUUUUCGGAUCGUAAAGCUCUGUUGUAAGAGAAGAACGAGUGUGAGAGUGGAAAGUUCACACUGUGACGGUAUCUUACCAGAAAGGGACGGCUAACUACGUG
This 494-nucleotide ribosomal RNA is filed under the name uncultured bacterium. RNAcentral describes it as "partial 16S ribosomal RNA". It matches the Rfam family "Bacterial small subunit ribosomal RNA", at positions 28 to 507 of the family's 1533-position model. The record is from RNAcentral.